This 524-nucleotide ribosomal RNA is filed under the name uncultured bacterium. RNAcentral describes it as "partial 16S ribosomal RNA". It matches the Rfam family "Bacterial small subunit ribosomal RNA", at positions 28 to 523 of the family's 1533-position model. The record is from RNAcentral.
GACGAACGCUGGCGGCGUGCUUAACACAUGCAAGUCGAACGAGACGAUUGAAAGCUUGCUUUCGAAAGUCGAGUGGCAAACGGGUGAGUAACGCGUAGACAACCUGCCUUUGAGAUGGGGACAACAGUUCGAAAGGACUGCUAAUACCGAAUGUUGUAUAUUUUCCACAUGGAAGAUAUAUUAAAGAUGGCCUCUAUUUAUAAGCUAUCGCUCAAAGAUGGGUCUGCGUCUGAUUAGCUGGUUGGUGGGGUAACGGCCUGCCAAGGCGACGAUCAGUAGCCGGUCUGAGAGGAUGAACGGCCACAUUGGGACUGAGACACGGCCCAGACUCCUACGGGAGGCAGCAGUGGGGAAUCUUCCACAAUGGACGAAGGUCUGAUGGAGCAACGCCGCGUGAGUGAAGAAGGGUUUCGGCUCGUAAAGCUCUGUUGUCGGGGACGAAUGUGCAGUAUUUGAAUAAAGUACUGCAAUGACGGUACCUGACGAGGAAGCCACGGCUAACUACGUGCCAGCCGCCGCAGUAA